Molecule: ribosomal RNA, 493 nt
Filed under: uncultured bacterium
Lineage: Bacteria
Description: bacterial SSU rRNA
Rfam family: Bacterial small subunit ribosomal RNA
Source: RNAcentral
AAUGAACGCUGGCGGCGUGCCUAACACAUGCAAGUCGAAUGUGCCGCAAGGUGCAUGGCAGACGGGUGAGUAACGCGUGGGCAAUCUACCUUUUCGUGGGGAAUAACGAUCCGAAAGGAUUGGUAAUACCGCAUGAGACCAAUGGCUGGGAUGCUGUUGGUGAAACCUGGGGACCGCAAGGCCUGGGGCGAAAAGAGGAGCCUGCGUCUGAUUAGCUAGUUGGCGGGGUAACGGCCCACCAAGGCUUCGAUCAGUAGCCGGCCUGAGAGGGUGAUCGGCCACACUGGAACUGAGACACGGUCCAGACUCCUACGGGAGGCAGCAGUGGGGAAUUUUGCGCAAUGGACGAAAGUCUGACGCAGCAACGCCGCGUGGGUGAUGAAGGUCUUCGGAUUGUAAAACCCUGUCGUCGAGGACGAAGGUCGGAGUGUUAAUAGCGCUUUGGCUUGACGGUACUCGGAGAGGAAGCCCCGGGCUAACUCUGUGCCAGCAG